Molecule: ribosomal RNA, 423 nt
Filed under: uncultured prokaryote
Description: bacterial SSU rRNA
Rfam family: Bacterial small subunit ribosomal RNA
Source: RNAcentral
UGGGGAAUAUUGGACAAUGGGGGCAACCCUGAUCCAGCCAUGCCGCGUGAGUGAUGAAGGCCUUAGGGUUGUAAAGCUCUUUCGCCGGUGACGAUAAUGACGGUAACCGGUAAAGAAGCCCCGGCUAACUUCGUGCCAGCAGCCGCGGUAAUACGAAGGGGGCUAGCGUUGUUCGGAAUUGCUGGGCGUAAAGCGCGCGUAGGCGGACCAUUAAGUCAGGGGUGAAAUCCCGGGGCUCAACCUCGGAAUUGCCUUUGAUAUUGGUAGUCUAGAGUUCGAGAGAGGUGAGUGGAAUUCCGAGUGUAGAGGUGAAAUUCGUAGAUAUUCGGGGAACACCAGUGGCGAAGGCGGCUCACUGGCUCGAUACUGACGCUGAGGUGCGAAAGCGUGGGGAGCAAACAGGAUUAGAUACCCCCGUAGUCC